GAUCCAAAUCAACUCUUAAUUCUCUCUCUCUAAGACUCAGAGCUUCAAUUUUCUCUGGUAUCUCGAACCGAUCCUUAAAGACAUCAAAUUUCUCAUCAUCUCGAACCGAUGACAUAAGAAAGUGAGUGUUAAAUUAUAGUUCUUGAAGCUAAAUUGGGGGUUUCGAUCAAAUUUCUCAUCAUCUCUCUAUUCAGACUUCUUCCCCUAUUGCAUGUAUAAGAAGAUGAAUAUGAAUAUGCUUCACAGGAAUCAAGUGUCGGUGAAGUGGAUUUUGAAGAUGAUUGUAAGAAGGAUGAAGGAAUCCAGCGGCUUGACCGAAUAUUUUUAGGUUUCAACAAUCACCAUUAACAACUUCUUGCCAGUUGAAAUCUCAACCCUUCACACGAACCCAUAUUUUUAGGUAAUAAUCUGAACAUGGUUAACCAUAAAGAUGAUCUUAAUGUUGGAAUGGCCCUUUUUAAUCUUUCAAUUGUUUAUGGAUUUAGAAGGAAUAAGAAAGACCUGUGAUUCAGCUUCCAAAGAUGCUUAUUCUGCUCCGAGAUAUCAUAGGCAUCUGCUGAUAUGAAAGGGAAGGAAGCAAACGGCAGACUGUCAAAUGAGUCGUUGGCGUCCCAGAGAUUAUCUGAUGAUUCAUCAUCGUAUUCAUCGCGUUUAGGUUUAGAAAGGCGGUUGUUGAUAGAUUUGAAUCAAGAAUAUGUAGACGAGGAAUGAAGAUGGAGUGGCUGAUUCAACAGAGGCCAGAGACAGCACUUAUCCAAGGAAUUAUUAAAGAGAUUAGUAGCAGAUUAGAUCCAUACAAAGGGAGUAAACUCCCACACAUGAUUGAAUUGGAGUCUUCCAUUAGAAUAGUCACUUCAUCAACUUACGAUUAUGGUGUAUUUUUAAGCUUUAGAGGCAGCAACAAAGCUUGGAUUUGAUUUAAAGGCAGCAAGAAAGCUCAAGAAGCGAAGACUGUAGUCUCUCACGGUGCUAUUCACACCGAGCGAAGGCUGCACCAGAUGAUGCUCGAGGAUCACUGGGUUUGAAGUUAGAACUGUGCACAACGGACAGAGUCGGGCUUUUAUCUGACGUGACUCGUAUUUUCCGCGAAAAUAGUCUCCAGGUCACGAGAGCCGAGGCAGCAACAAAGCUUGAAUUUCAUUUAAAGGCAACAACAAAGCUUGAAUUUCAUUUAAAGGCAGCAACAAAGCUCGAGAAGCGAAGACUGUAACAAUCCUCGGUAACAAUAUGUGAAAGCCAAAUAGAAGCCAGCUGGACAGCACUGAAGGCUUGGAAAAGUGGCAAUAAAGUUACCUAAGAAUAAAAUAGAUGUUUUUAUUAAAGAAAAUAGGAUUUAUUUCUAUGAAAUGUGUGUACUGAAAACUUGGGUUUUACCCAUGUGUUUAAUAUUAUAAAAUGUGAUGGUUUACUCUGAUAACAUAUUUCCUAACUACGGUCCUGAUGAAAAAUUC
RNAcentral lists this long non-coding RNA (1451 nucleotides) under Helianthus annuus (common sunflower). The record is from RNAcentral. Lineage: Eukaryota; Viridiplantae; Streptophyta; Magnoliopsida; Asterales; Asteraceae.